GCCCCUAUAGUUCAAUGGAUAAAAUUUUUCCUUGCGGAGGAAAAGAUCGAGGUUCGAAUCCUCGUGGGGGCA
RNAcentral lists this transfer RNA (72 nucleotides) under Nanobdellota archaeon. Its description in RNAcentral is "tRNA-Arg". It matches the Rfam family "tRNA". Rfam says of the family: Transfer RNA (tRNA) molecules are approximately 80 nucleotides in length. The record is from RNAcentral. Lineage: Archaea; Nanobdellati; Nanobdellota.